RNAcentral lists this ribosomal RNA (199 nucleotides) under Oscillospiraceae bacterium. RNAcentral describes it as "partial 16S ribosomal RNA". It matches the Rfam family "Bacterial small subunit ribosomal RNA", at positions 1 to 190 of the family's 1533-position model. The record is from RNAcentral. Lineage: Bacteria; Bacillati; Bacillota; Clostridia; Eubacteriales; Oscillospiraceae.
UCAUUAGAGAGUUUGAUCCUGGCUCAGGAUGAACGCUGGCGGCGUGCCUAACACAUUCAAGUCGAACGGAGUUAAUUUGGAAGCUUGCUUUCGAAUUAACUUAGUGGCGGACGGGUGAGUAAUGCAUGAGCAACCUGCCUUAAAGAGGGGGAUAACACGGUGAAAACCGUGCUAAUACCGCAUGUUUUAUGUUGAGGGC